ACAGCACACAACACAAUACUAGUAAAGGUGGGGCUUUUCAUUUUCAAACCGUAUACAUUACCUUGGAAUUCGGAAAAAGAAAGAACCUCUCUCUCUCACACCCACACUUCUCUGUAAUAUAAUGUCUCAUCUGCCUGCACUCUCUUCUUAUCUCUGCUGUUUGUCUUCAGAUAAUAAAAACUCACUUUCCCAAUCCCAUGGCAUUUUUCAUACCCAUUUCCUCAACACGUGCUUUCUGGUCCAAAGGUUUGGAGAAAUUUGUGGUGGAUGGCACAAGGAAUCGAUCAUCUUGCUUAACACAUGAAAGAUUUUUUGUCGCUUGAAGGUAUUGGAGUUAUGGAUUGAUAUGCCUGAAGUUUGGAAUAGGGAAUGAAGCCAUUGGUCCUAGUAGUUUAAUUUAUAUGUAAUAUAUUAUUGAAUUAUUUGUACAUUGUUUGAUGUAGUCUGGAUCAAUCAUUUGUUGUACAUCAAUUUGCUAUAUAUAGUGGCCGCUUGAACUUUCCUACUUUAAAUGCUUAUAGUUUUUUUUCUUUUAA
Long non-coding RNA from Vigna angularis (adzuki bean), 536 nucleotides. RefSeq lists it as uncharacterized. The transcript is spliced from 2 exons. Lineage: Eukaryota; Viridiplantae; Streptophyta; Magnoliopsida; Fabales; Fabaceae. The record is from RefSeq and is a predicted model, not a curated record.